AUUGAACGCUGGCGGCAGGCCUAACACAUGCAAGUCGAGCGGAUGAAGGGAGCUUGCUCCUGGAUUCAGCGGCGGACGGGUGAGUAAUGCCUAGGAAUCUGCCUGGUAGUGGGGGAUAACGUCCGGAAACGGGCGCUAAUACCGCAUACGUCCUGAGGGAGAAAGUGGGGGAUCUUCGGACCUCACGCUAUCAGAUGAGCCUAGGUCGGAUUAGCUAGUUGGUGGGGUAAAGGCCUACCAAGGCCACGAUCCGUAACUGGUCUGAGAGGAUGAUCAGCCACACUGGAACUGAGACACGGUCCAGACUCCUACGGGAGGCAGCAGUGGGGAAUAUUGGACAAUGGGCGAAAGCCUGAUCCAGCCAUGCCGCGUGUGUGAAGAAGGUCUUCGGAUUGUAAAGCACUUUAAGUUGGGAGGAAGGGCAGUAAGUUAAUACCUUGCUGUUUUGACGUUACCAACAGAAUAAGCACCGGCUAACUUCGUG
This 484-nucleotide ribosomal RNA is filed under the name uncultured bacterium. Its description in RNAcentral is "partial 16S ribosomal RNA". It matches the Rfam family "Bacterial small subunit ribosomal RNA", at positions 30 to 507 of the family's 1533-position model. The record is from RNAcentral.